AACAGUCAUGCAGCUGUAGAAAAUGCAGCAGAGGGGAAGGCCACAGGAUCAGUGGGCAGCCUGGCAUCAUGAUUAAGUGGAGAUACCAUCACAGAACACCUGAGACUUAGAGCUACACACAACAGGCUGUGCGGUGAUGUGCUGGGCAACAGAACAUCGAUUUCGACGUCAAAAGACCUUCAUAGUGCUUCCGAAUUCUGACUUACCUUAGCUGUCUUUCCUUUUGUGAAGCACCAACCACUGAAGUUCAUUUUGGAAUCAUGGCCACCCAGAAGAGGAAAGGGGUGAUCAUGUGUCUCAAAGAAGAGAUAACUUUGAGGGAGAGGAUGAAAACUGCAAAGACCCUUGGGAUUAAAUGAAAUCUGCUGAUUCUACUCUUUUUUCAUGAAUUUCUGUAUGAUAUUUAGCAAUUAGAAUGUUUGACUGGCAAUGGCCAGGUAGAUUUCACCAUUAUGUAACAAAGAGAAUAAAAAA
This 474-nucleotide long non-coding RNA is filed under the name Homo sapiens (human). RNAcentral describes it as "HSALNT0366856". Lineage: Eukaryota; Metazoa; Chordata; Mammalia; Primates; Hominidae. The record is from RNAcentral.